GACGAACGCUGGCGGCGUGCUUAACACAUGCAAGUCGAACGGAAAGGCCCUGCUUUUGUGGGGUGCUCGAGUGGCGAACGGGUGAGUAACACGUGAGUAACCUGCCCUUGACUUUGGGAUAACUUCAGGAAACUGGGGCUAAUACCGGAUAGGAGCUCCUGCUGCAUGGUGGGGGUUGGAAAGUUUCGGCGGUUGGGGAUGGACUCGCGGCUUAUCAGCUUGUUGGUGGAGUAGUGGCUUACCAAGGCUUUGACGGGUAGCCGGCCUGAGAGGGUGACCGGCCACAUGGGGACUGAGAUACGGCCCAGACUCCUACGGGAGGCAGCAGUGGGGAAUAUUGCACAAUGGGCGGAAGCCUGAUGCAGCAACGCCGCGUGCGGGAUGACGGCCUUCGGGUUGUAAACCGCUUUCGCCUGUGACGAAGCGUGAGUGACGGUAAUGGGUAAAGAAGCACCGGCUAACUACGUG
RNAcentral lists this ribosomal RNA (468 nucleotides) under uncultured bacterium. Its description in RNAcentral is "partial 16S ribosomal RNA". It matches the Rfam family "Bacterial small subunit ribosomal RNA", at positions 28 to 507 of the family's 1533-position model. The record is from RNAcentral.